UGCCAUCAGUGCCCCAUCGUCGAGCUCCCACCCCCCAGCCUGCCUCUUCUCUUCGUGUGGCCAAGCUGGAAUGGAGGGCACGAUCAAUAUUCGUGGUCGCUAGCGGGGUGCAGCCAGGGGCGGAGUUGGGCCUGGGGCAACUGGGGCUAUAGCCCCAGGCUUGGCCCAUCUAGUAGGCAUACAUUCAUUAGUUUCUUUUUUAUAUUUAUAUACAUACAAGGCCCAGCCCCAGGCGUGCAAGCACAGCCCCAUGUUCAGCCCACGUAAGUUCCCACUUCCCAGCCCAAUGGAGAUGUCCUAUGCCACGACUCGAGACCACCAUAGUUGGUUUGCUGCGCCGCCUCAGCCGCCCGCCGUUUUCCACGGGACAGAUCGGCGUCCCGCGUCUGUACUUGCGUCCAGGCGGCUGGCGCUCGCCGCUCAGAGCACGGAUCAUCGCCUCGUCGACUCCUAGCAGUGCCCUCCGGGACAGGAAGACAGGACAGGUAAUCUUCAGUUUGUUGUAUCUGUCAUCUAAUUUUCUCUAGUUUUCUUUCUAUUUGCCCAAGUCAAUGAGUUUGUGACAUUCAAUUGUAUUACUUUAAUCACUUCUAUUUCAUUGUUAUUUGUUAACAUGAAAUAUUGUUCAAAAUCCAAGAUGAAGAGGAUUCAAACAAUUGAAGAGGAAAUAUUGUUCAAAAUCCUUGAUUCUGCUUUGUCACUACAGCAACCGUAGAAAGAGCUUUCUCAGCUAUGAGCAUUGUCAAAACUGAAUUGCGGAAUAAGAUGAAUGAUGAAUGGAUGAAUCAUCGUUUGGUGUGCUAUAUUGAGCGUGAUGUAUUUGCAAGCAUUGAUGAUAUUAAGAUUAUACAGUGCUAUCAAAAAAUGAGGAAACAAAAGGGGCUACUACCUCGUGCACUUCGUGACAAUGCUCCAGGUCUUUCUACUAUUGCUGGUGAAGAAACAAUUGCCUAGAAUUAAGCAAGUCUUCAUCAAUUUGGUACCAAACAAUGUUUGUAAAAUGCACUUUGUUAAAUUAUUUGUUUUAUCAAAUUUUCUCUCAUGGUAAUAAGGAAUUUACAUUUCAUCUUUAAUGUGAAUUUGUGGCAUACUUCUAGCACAUGUUGGUGUGCAUGCUAUUUGACGUUAUUUUUAGUCAAUUAGUUUUAGCCCUAGGCUUUGAGAAAUCCUGACUCCGUCUCUUGGUGCAGCCAUGCAGGUCACGCCGUUGUUGGCCGUGGAGAACGUGCCCCGUGCGGAAGUCAUGCUGGGCUCGCCGGAGACGCGCUGGCAGUGGCACUACUGCGCCUCAAGCGCGUACCGGUGCCCUCUAAGGCGUCGAGACCCGAACACGGCCGAGGUCUUGGCAGAUGGUGCAGAGCUUAUCAAGCCCGCCGUCGACGGCACCAGGCCGCACGUAGUGGCCCUGCUCGCGGAGCUUCGCUCCUACGACCUACUGUUCGAAUUCACCACGCUCCUAGGUUGCCGAGGUUGCGCCGCUCCAGUUCGCUAUCUUCUCCGUCUUCCUCAUUUGUCACCGUGCCAAUCUCCCAGUCCCAGCUUCCCGGCUUCACCUACAUGUUCACUAGCUUCAAUGAUGAGUCGUGCCUGUAUUGUACGCCCGCGCCAUCGCUAACCUCGAGGACAGUGAUGCCCUCGUGAUCAAAACAUGCGUCGUCAUGAAGUGCUCCGGCACUGAGGAAGCCGUAGCAUGUGGCCGCUACAAGCAGUCCUUGUCGGCAAUACCACGGCAGACAGAGACAUCCAUCAACAGUCGUCGACCCGGAUGGAGGCUCGAAGUUAACGUGGAAGCGCCCUGUUGGGAAUAAGCCGUGCUGAGCCCGGUGUGCGGUGUGCGUGCGUGCGUGCGGUGGCCGCGUCGGACUCGGGCCAGGGCGAGCUUGGGCGCGUGCGUGCGUGCCCAAGUGUAGGUGUGCGUGUGUGCGCGUGGCCGCGUGAGUUAGCUGGCGAGGUUUAGGGGGAGUGGACUGCGUCGGGCGCGCAGCAUGGCCGCGGCGAUCGCGUGCGUGCGUGAUCGGAGCGCGCGAGCCGGCGCAUGCGGGGCGUGGCGAGUGGCAGGUGGGUGCGUUCGAGCGCGGCCCGGCAUGUCGGACCUCGCGGGUAUAAGAUCCACUUCACCUCUGUGUAAUCGCUGACGAGAUCGAGUUCGUGCUCGAGGAGAAAUACAAAGAACCCGUUCGUGUGGGGGGGGGGCGUUCAUGCGCCGGCAAACUCUCUGUAUUCUUCCUCCUCCUCUCUGGUCGUGUGUUCGGUGAUCACCGUCGAGUGCUCGAGAUCGCUGCGCCAACAUUUGGUAUCAAAGCAAGGUGACGGAGCAAGCUGAAGGAGAUCGCCGGCGAUGGCUCUAGUUCCACACGGCGGAGGCAGCGCGGGCGGAUCGGUGUCCAUGGGGAUGCCGGUGCUCACGCCGGACGGCUACACCGUG
This is a long non-coding RNA of Triticum aestivum (bread wheat), 2425 nucleotides long. RefSeq lists it as uncharacterized. Lineage: Eukaryota; Viridiplantae; Streptophyta; Magnoliopsida; Poales; Poaceae. The transcript is spliced from 3 exons. The record is from RefSeq and is a predicted model, not a curated record.